AGAGAGAGACAUGCGCGCAUAUCAAUAAGCGGAGGAAAAGAAACUAACAUAGGAUUCCCUCAGUAACGGCGAGUGAAGCGGGAAGAGCUCAAAUUUGAAAUCUUCAAGGUUCUACCUUGACGAAUUGUAGUUUAAAGAAGUGUUUUCUGUUGAAGUUUUGGUAAAAGUUCUUUGGAAUAGGACAUCAUAGAGGGUGAGAAUCCCGUAUUUGACCAUUAUUUUCCAGCUUUGUGAUACACUUUCAAAGAGUCGGAUUGUUUGGGAAUGCAGUCCAAAAUGGGUGGUAAAUUUCAUCUAAAGCUAAAUACUGGCGAGAGACCGAUAGCGAACAAGUACCGUGAGGGAAAGAUGAAAAGAACUUUGAAAAGAGAGUUAAACAGUACGUGAAAUUGUCAAAAGGGAAGCGUUUGACACCAGUGUUGUUUUCUCGAAAAUCAAUUAAAAAAGGCAGGAUUUUGUGUUGUAUUGACUUUAUCAGCUUUCUGCACUCUUUUCUUGUCUUUUUUAAUGCACUUUUCGUUUAACAAGUCAACAUCAAUUUCUUUUGUUGUAAAAGGGUCAUUGGAAGGUGGCUUUCUUUUCGGAGAAAGUGUUUAUAGCCUUUGGCCUCUGCAAUCGGAGAGAUUGAGGUCUGCAGCGUAGAUCCUUCGGGGUUAGAUACAUUUGUGCUAAGUUAUAGCCUUUCAUAGACAACUUGUUGACUAUGAUCAGUCAUGUAGCUUACUCGCUUAUGCUAUUUUACCUACGCUUAGGAUGUUGAUGUGAUACUGCGAGCA
Molecule: ribosomal RNA, 776 nt
Filed under: uncultured Neocallimastigales
Lineage: Eukaryota; Fungi; Neocallimastigomycota; Neocallimastigomycetes; Neocallimastigales
Description: partial large subunit ribosomal RNA
Rfam family: Eukaryotic large subunit ribosomal RNA
Source: RNAcentral